AUUAGUAAAAGUUAAUUUGUUUUAGUUAAUAAAAUUAAUUUAAAUUUUUUAAGUGAAAUUUUAAAUUUAUUAAUUUUAUAUGAAAAAGUUAAUGAAGCUAGAAAAUUUUAAUAAUAAACUGGAUUAGAUCCCUAUUAUUUAAAAGUAAAAAUUCAAUCCUUGAGUAGUAAUAGAUAUGAUCUUCAAACUUAAAGAAUUUGGCGGUGUUUUAGUCUAUUUAGAGGAGCCUGUCCUGUAAUCGAUAAUCCACGUUGGCCCUUACUAAAAUUGUUGUCAAUUUGUAUAUCGCCGUUUCAGAAUAUCUUAAAAGAGGAAUAAUUUUCUUAAUUUAUUAUUAUAAUUGAUGUCAGGUCAAGGUGCAGUUAAAUUUUAGUAGAGAUGGGUUACAAUAAAUUUAUUUAAACGUUAAAUUAUUUGAAAUAAUGAUUUUAAGGUGGAUUUAAAAGUAAAAUAAUGGAUA
Molecule: ribosomal RNA, 460 nt
Filed under: Simulium malyschevi
Lineage: Eukaryota; Metazoa; Arthropoda; Insecta; Diptera; Simuliidae
Description: partial 12S ribosomal RNA
Source: RNAcentral